UCGGAAGGUGCGGCUGGAUCACCUCCUUUCUAAGGAUAAUUACGAGAGCGCUUUUGUUUUGUUCAGUUUUGAAUGAGUAAUUCAUUCAAAUAGGAAAGACAAACAUCACGAUGUGAUGGAUAACUUUCUGCUUUGUUCCUUGAAAACUAGAUAAUAGAUAGAAGGCAAUUAAUUUUUUUCAAAGCAUCUGUAAGAUCUUUUUUAACGGUUAAGUUAGAAAGGGCGCAC
RNAcentral lists this unclassified non-coding RNA (228 nucleotides) under uncultured bacterium. RNAcentral describes it as "partial may contain 16S ribosomal RNA, 16S-23S ribosomal RNA intergenic spacer, and 23S ribosomal RNA". The record is from RNAcentral.